Molecule: long non-coding RNA, 309 nt
Organism: Vicia villosa (hairy vetch)
Lineage: Eukaryota; Viridiplantae; Streptophyta; Magnoliopsida; Fabales; Fabaceae
Exons: 2
Source: RefSeq, a predicted model, not a curated record
AUCUAACUGCAUACUCAACCUUGUCAACCUUUCCAAUUCAAAGAUUUUGGCAUAAACACAAAUCUUUUUUAGCUUGCAUAUUCAACACAAAUCUACCUUCCCCAAAUUCAAAAUCACUUUCUAUCUUCCUCGUUCUUCAGGUUUAAUCUAUGGGUUUCUAAAUUUCUUCGACGUCAGCAACAACAAAUAAUUCGUAGGUAAAAUAGAAAGGUAUGAUUAUGUGAGAAAUAGAAUAAUCGGGAAAGGUAGGGUUUUUAUUUUGUUGGUGUUGAUAAUGAAAAGGGGAUAAUUUGUGGUUAGGUUUUUAAA